This 663-nucleotide ribosomal RNA is filed under the name eukaryotic picoplankton environmental sample. RNAcentral describes it as "bacterial SSU rRNA". It matches the Rfam family "Eukaryotic small subunit ribosomal RNA", at positions 71 to 734 of the family's 1831-position model. The record is from RNAcentral.
CACUUAUACUGUGAAACUGCGGAAAGCUCAUUAUAUCAGUUAUAGUUUAUUUGAUGGUACCCUUACUACAUGGAUAACCGUAGUAAUUCUAGAGCUAAUACAUGCCCGGAAACUGCGACUCCUCGGGGAAGCAGCGGACUUAUUAGAUUAAAAGCCAAUCCGGCUUGCCGGUUCUUGGUGAAUCAUAAUAAUUUCACGAAUCGCAUGGCUUUAUGCUGGCGAUGGGUCAUUCAAGUUUCUGCCCUAUCAGCUGUGAUGUUAGUGUAUUGGACUAACAUGGCUAAAACGGGUGACGGAGGAUUAGGGUCUGAUUCCGGAGAGGGAGCCUGAGAAAUGGCUACCACUUCCAAGGAAGGCAGCAGGCGCGUAAAUUACCCAAUCCCGAUUCGGGGAGGUAGUGACAAGAAAUAACAAUAUCGGGCAUUUAAUGUCUGGUAAUUGGAAUGAGUACAACGUAAAACUCUUAACGAGGACCAAUUGGAGGGCAAGUCUGGUGCCAGCAGCCGCGGUAAUACCAGCUCCAAUAGUGUAUAUUAAAGUUGUUGCAGUUAAAGGCUCGUAGUCGAACUUCUGGCCUUGGCAGCCUGGCCCGCCGCUUCGGUGGCGCGUGACGGGCUGCCGGGUCAUCCUUCUGGAGAGCUCCUCUGCCCUUGACUGGGUUGG